Molecule: ribosomal RNA, 468 nt
Filed under: uncultured bacterium
Lineage: Bacteria
Description: bacterial SSU rRNA
Rfam family: Bacterial small subunit ribosomal RNA
Source: RNAcentral
UGCCAGACUCCUACGGGAGGCAGCAGUGAGGAAUAUUGGUCAAUGGGCGCAAGCCUGAACCAGCCAAGUCGCGUGAGGGAUGACGGUCCUAUGGAUUGUAAACCUCUUUUGUCGGGGAGCAAGGCCCGCCACGUGUGGCGGGAAGGAGAGUACCCGAAGAAAAAGCAUCGGCUAACUCCGUGCCAGCAGCCGCGGUAAUACGGAGGAUGCGAGCGUUAUCCGGAUUUAUUGGGUUUAAAGGGUGCGCAGGCGGAUUUUUAAGUCAGCGGUCAAAUCGUGGGGCUCAACCCCAUCCAGCCGUUGAAACUGGGGAUCUAGAGUGUACGAGAGGUAUGCGGAAUGCGUGGUGUAGCGGUGAAAUGCAUAGAUAUCACGCAGAACCCCGAUUGCGAAGGCAGCGUACCGGCGCCCAACUGACGCUGAAGCACGAAGGCGUGGGUAUCGAACAGGAUUAGAUACCCGAGUAAU